UACGUAGGUGGCAAGCGUUGUCCGGAUUUACUGGGCGUAAAGAGCGCGCAGGCGGUCGUUCAAGUCGCGUGUGAAAGCCCCCGGCUCAACUGGGGAGGGUCACGCGACACUGAUCGACUCGAAGGCAGGAGAGGGAAGUGGAAUUCCCGGUGUAGUGGUGAAAUGCGUAGAUAUCGGGAGGAACACCAGUGGCGAAGGCGACUUCCUGGCCUGUUCUUGACGCUGAGGCGCGAAAGCUAGGGGAGCAAACGGG
Molecule: ribosomal RNA, 253 nt
Filed under: uncultured bacterium
Lineage: Bacteria
Description: partial 16S ribosomal RNA
Rfam family: Bacterial small subunit ribosomal RNA
Source: RNAcentral